Molecule: small RNA, 137 nt
Filed under: Bacillus sp. (in: firmicutes)
Lineage: Bacteria; Bacillati; Bacillota; Bacilli; Caryophanales; Bacillaceae
Also listed under: 1 other name
Description: Bacillus sp. c-di-AMP sequence
Rfam family: c-di-AMP riboswitch aptamer (ydaO/yuaA leader)
About the family: This family represents a conserved RNA structure found upstream of the ydaO and yuaA genes in Bacillus subtilis and related genes in other bacteria.
Source: RNAcentral
AUGAUAAUAUCGCUUAAUCUUUGAGCGGGGGAACCAAUUUUACUUUUAUUUAAGUAUUUGGGGUGAAUCCUUUACAGGUAGGGUACUCUCAAAACCCGAACCCGACAGCUAACCUCGUAAGCGUGUUGAGAGGAAAA